AUUGAAUAUUGUCUCCGAACCUUAAUCCCUAAACUUUCAGCAUGGGGUCAAGGUCGUGGGUCUUCCGGGAAACUGGCUGGCCUCCCAGGGUGGAAAGGAGAAGAUGAUUUGAAGUG
RNAcentral lists this non-coding RNA (116 nucleotides) under Youngiibacter fragilis 232.1. RNAcentral's name for it is "Clostridium sp. 232.1 Molybdenum/Tungsten riboswitch aptamer (Moco RNA motif)". It matches the Rfam family "Molybdenum/Tungsten riboswitch aptamer (Moco RNA motif)". The record is from Rfam by way of RNAcentral. Lineage: Bacteria; Bacillati; Bacillota; Clostridia; Eubacteriales; Clostridiaceae. RNAcentral also lists the same sequence under 1 other name.